GUUACGGUAAGCUAAAACAAGCUAUUGGGCCCAUACCCCAGCCAUAUAGGUUAAAACCCUAUCCAUAACA
RNAcentral lists this transfer RNA (70 nucleotides) under Paraplagusia blochii (Bloch's tonguesole). RNAcentral describes it as "tRNA-Met". The record is from RNAcentral. Lineage: Eukaryota; Metazoa; Chordata; Actinopteri; Pleuronectiformes; Cynoglossidae.